UAUUGCAAGAUACAACAAGUGUGACGAGUCUUCAGAGACGGCUUUGGUAGAAUCAAUGGCAGAGGGACUGUUCUGAUUCUUUUUUUGAGGUGCAGGAUUGUGUACAGUAGCAGCUCUUGCCAUGAUGUUUUUAACUUGGAAUGAUAGGGAAAGCU
Long non-coding RNA from Rosa chinensis, 155 nucleotides. RefSeq lists it as uncharacterized. Lineage: Eukaryota; Viridiplantae; Streptophyta; Magnoliopsida; Rosales; Rosaceae. The record is from RefSeq and is a predicted model, not a curated record. The transcript has 3 exons.